AGCCGCUCUGGAUCCCGGAGCCUCGGAGCACAAUCCACCACGACAGACACAGCAAUGAGCAUGAGUAGGAAGGAAGCCGGUUGCAUGAUCAAUUGGGGAUACCGUGCUUUGGGCAGCUACUGGAGGAGGAGAAAUUCCAGCAGGUCUAUUUAAACAGGAGGUCGAUAAACCUGGCUUACUCAUUUACCACAAUGACUCAAAGCCAGCCUGUUUUUCUGAGCUCGUUCAGAGACUGCAGCAGAGAGGAUGAGGAGAGAGAGGAAGGGAUGGAGAUAGUGCUUGAACUUUUCUCAUUAACGACACAGAAGAAGAAAAUGAAGUCAGGUGCAAACCUCCCUAAAACACCAUGACAAAAGUCUUUGAGAUGGAUGAGAAAACACGGCUGCUACAGGCGACAGGAAGACCCCCCCAUCUUCAACCUUGGCACGAAAGUGGCUCAGAUGAGUCGGACAUCAAUCCCAGGGCCCUGCACCGUCUGUCCAGUCUGACAUUUACUGGCGAGGGGGCACACUGGUCAGAUGCUCAGGUAUUUUACCCUACAUUUCUCACAUCCUUGUCAAGUUAAACAAACAACCAGUGCCACAUGCAGAGUCCCAUAUAAGUCCUCUGAACAUGGUUACUGUCUUCCUCCCUGCUUGCUCUUUGUCCCUCACCACAGCAUCGUCUCCAUAGUGGAAAGAUAUACAGUACACAAAGGAAGAGUGUGAGCAGCUGUUGAAUUCAAGUGCAAACCUCCCUAAAACACCAUGACAAAAGUCUUUGAGAUGGAUGAGAAAACACGGCUGCUACAGGCGACAGGAAGACCCCCCAUCUUCAACCUUGGCACAAAAGUGGCUCAGAUGAGUCGGACAUCAAUCCCAGGGCCCUGCACCGUCUGUCCAGUCUGACAUUUACUGGCGAGGGGGCACACUGGUCAGAUGCUCAGGUAUUUUACCCUACAUUUCUCACAUCCUUGUCAAGUUAAACAAACAACCAGUGCCACAUGCAGAGUCCCAUAUAAGUCCUCUGAACAUGGUUACUGUCUUCCUCCCUGCUUGCUCUUUGUCCCUCACCACAGCAUCGUCUCCAUAGUGGAAAGAUAUACAGUACACAAAGGAAGAGUGUGAGCAGCUGUUGAAUUCAAUGGCAGGUCAGUGUGUAGGGCAGAGUCUGCAGCGUGGCGUACGCGUAGCCAGUUAGAGCGGCCAUCACGGUGACCAGGACCACGCUUUUGGAGAGACAGAUGACGGACGCAGAGACCGUGAAGCUCACCAUGCUGCUCAGGUAGACCCACCGGGAGCCAAAAUGGCGAACCAGGCGACUCAUGAUCAGGGAGAAGAAGGUUGAGGUAGCACACUGCAGGAACAGGCCCAGGCUGCCCAUACGGAUACCUGAGAGGAAACGCAUCAUGUGUUACAACCAGGACACACAAUAAGGUCAGUAGGAAGGUAUGUAGGCAUGCAGGAACACUGUCUGCGUCCUCCACCUGUGCCGGAGGAAUGUGCGUGCAUCCUGCCCAGCUGGUGACGGAGCAGACAGCAAAGACAGGAUGGACGCUGUGCCAGGUUACAUGUUUACAGGUGGUGGAGGGGAGGACAUGUCAGAAGGGUUGCAGAAGGCUGGAGCCGAUCCCAGCAGUCAUUGGGCGACCCCUGGACUGUUGGCCAGUCAAUCACAGACAGACAAAGUCACACUCACAUUCACACCUACGGGCAAUUUAGAGUCACCAGUUAACCUAA
Molecule: non-coding RNA, 1718 nt
Organism: Labrus bergylta (ballan wrasse)
Lineage: Eukaryota; Metazoa; Chordata; Actinopteri; Labriformes; Labridae
Source: RefSeq, a predicted model, not a curated record